Long non-coding RNA from Herpailurus yagouaroundi (jaguarundi), 1750 nucleotides. RefSeq lists it as uncharacterized. The transcript is spliced from 2 exons. NCBI's taxonomy places the organism in Eukaryota, Metazoa, Chordata, Mammalia, Carnivora, Felidae. The record is from RefSeq and is a predicted model, not a curated record.
GAGGAAAAUGGAAGGAGAGGAGAAAGCGAGAAGAGAGGAGAGCGAGCAGUGUGCGUGCUCGUUUCCCAAAUCUUGCUUCUCAGCGAGCACGCGCCGAGCUGCGGCAGCCCCGAGCAACUCGAAAGCGCCAGGGUCGGCACGCAGCCCGGCUCCCAGUCUGGUCUCGGCCUCCGGCGGCUCGCUCCCCGCCACUCGCUCUCCCCCUCUCUCCCUCCCAGCCAGCCAGCCAGCCGGGGCGCGCGCUCCCGCGCCCCCUCCCCCUGCCGUCGCGCCCCCCGCCCCCCACCUCCCGCGAGCAGGAAACGCGUGGCCCCGAGGAGGGCGACCAGGUGGGGGAGGCCAUGCUGGGGGAGGGGGCCGUGCAGCCCGCAGCAGUCUACCUAACUGCUGCCGCGGACGCUAGUGACGCGCUCUUGGCCCAGCCUGCUCCCCGGAUUCUUAGGCUGGGGGUCAUCUGGGACCAGGGGACCCACAAAACAACCGGCGUCUGCGAGCCUCCCUGGGGCUCCCGAAAGAAAUCCUGUUUGGCUUCCUCUGUCUAUGCAGCUCCCCUCUCAACUGAAACCACUGGUCCAAGACAGCCACAAUCCAGAUAUACUAGCAAGUCAUAAAACUGAACAAAAGCCGACAAACCUUACGGCACCAGGGCUAUAGGGCCCAGACAAAUUACGACCGUCUAGGUUUGACCCUUUUAUGCAUGUAAUUUCACAGUAUAAAGGAAACCCAAACAAAGUCUCCCUUCUCUAGUCUAUUCCGCUUGCCCCAGCCCUCCUUGGGUUCUAUGAAUUUUAGAAAGGAAAAAGAGGAAGAAGAAAAAAGAAAAUGAGAAAGAAAACUCUCCACAAGACAGGGAGAAUUGUGGUGUGCUUGUCGUGUGUUACCAGUGGUAACAAUUACUUAAUGACAAAAAAAAAAAAAAACCCACUAAAUCCACACGCAUAAACAAAACUACCUUAGGUUAUUUAUCUACAGACAGAAGGAUAUGGAAAUUCAGAGGUAAGUGAAAUAAUUUAGUCCCACAAUGCAAGACUAACACAAACUGGAAGAGAAGUUUCCUUCUCCUGGUCGUUCUUUUUUUUUUCUUUUUCUUUUUCUUUUUCUUUUUUUCCUUUUAAAGCUGGGAUAUCUUGCAGAGGAAGGAAAGAUUAAUCUUUCUUACUCUCAAUUUUUUAAUCAGCCAAAGUCAAGCCCUUUUGCCAGCCUGCAUGUCCAUGCCUGUAAGCCCUUCUCUUUGCCAAGGAAGAAAGAAAGAAAGAAAAAAGAAACCCAGGGGCCUGUGUCCCCUGAUUAAACACAGCCCAGCACUCCAGGCAGGCGAGCCCGGUGGCGGCUCCUUGCACCAUUGACCUCAGGCCAGACACCUCAGCGCCUACAAUGGGACCUCGGCCUUCCGGCUAGGUUUGCCCGCCCCCGCAGGAAACCAGCUCCACCGGGAGGACCGGAGCCAUUUCCAGCAGAGGAACCCCGAGACAGCAAACCAGCCCAGUCACCACUCAACACUUCAGGACAAUAGUUCUCUCUCUAGAAAUUUAGCACGAUAUGGCUUUUUCCCCCAGAAAACAAGUAAACCAGCACCAAGCAAACAGACAAAGAAACAAAAAGUCAGAACAAACCAGCCCUGCACAGAUGUAACGGCCAGCGAGAUGGCGAGUGUGGGAGGGAGGAAUGGGGCUCCGGCACAGGUGCGAGUUCCUGGGCAGAGGGCAGAGGCCGAAGACAGAGAGAGGAGAAUGGCUCUCUGGCAGCGGGG